Molecule: ribosomal RNA, 1530 nt
Filed under: Pectobacterium brasiliense
Lineage: Bacteria; Pseudomonadati; Pseudomonadota; Gammaproteobacteria; Enterobacterales; Pectobacteriaceae
Description: bacterial SSU rRNA
Rfam family: Bacterial small subunit ribosomal RNA
Source: RNAcentral
AGAGUUUGAUCAUGGCUCAGAUUGAACGCUGGCGGCAGGCCUAACACAUGCAAGUCGAGCGGUAGCACAGAAGAGCUUGCUCUUUGGGUGACGAGCGGCGGACGGGUGAGUAAUGUCUGGGAAACUGCCUGAUGGAGGGGGAUAACUACUGGAAACGGUAGCUAAUACCGCAUAACCUCGCAAGAGCAAAGAGGGGGACCUUCGGGCCUCUCGCCAUCAGAUGUGCCCAGAUGGGAUUAGCUAGUAGGUGAGGUAAUGGCUCACCUAGGCGACGAUCCCUAGCUGGUCUGAGAGGAUGACCAGCCACACUGGAACUGAGACACGGUCCAGACUCCUACGGGAGGCAGCAGUGGGGAAUAUUGCACAAUGGGCGCAAGCCUGAUGCAGCCAUGCCGCGUGUGUGAAGAAGGCCUUCGGGUUGUAAAGCACUUUCAGCGGGGAGGAAGGCGGUGAGGUUAAUAACUUCAUCGAUUGACGUUACCCGCAGAAGAAGCACCGGCUAACUCCGUGCCAGCAGCCGCGGUAAUACGGAGGGUGCAAGCGUUAAUCGGAAUGACUGGGCGUAAAGCGCACGCAGGCGGUCUGUUAAGUUGGAUGUGAAAUCCCCGGGCUUAACCUGGGAACUGCAUUCAAAACUGACAGGCUAGAGUCUUGUAGAGGGGGGUAGAAUUCCAGGUGUAGCGGUGAAAUGCGUAGAGAUCUGGAGGAAUACCGGUGGCGAAGGCGGCCCCCUGGACAAAGACUGACGCUCAGGUGCGAAAGCGUGGGGAGCAAACAGGAUUAGAUACCCUGGUAGUCCACGCUGUAAACGAUGUCGAUUUGGAGGUUGUGCCCUUGAGGCGUGGCUUCCGGAGCUAACGCGUUAAAUCGACCGCCUGGGGAGUACGGCCGCAAGGUUAAAACUCAAAUGAAUUGACGGGGGCCCGCACAAGCGGUGGAGCAUGUGGUUUAAUUCGAUGCAACGCGAAGAACCUUACCUACUCUUGACAUCCAGAGAACUUAGCAGAGAUGCUUUGGUGCCUUCGGGAACUCUGAGACAGGUGCUGCAUGGCUGUCGUCAGCUCGUGUUGUGAAAUGUUGGGUUAAGUCCCGCAACGAGCGCAACCCUUAUCCUUUGUUGCCAGCGAUUCGGUCGGGAACUCAAAGGAGACUGCCGGUGAUAAACCGGAGGAAGGUGGGGAUGACGUCAAGUCAUCAUGGCCCUUACGAGUAGGGCUACACACGUGCUACAAUGGCGUAUACAAAGAGAAGCGACCUCGCGAGAGCAAGCGGACCUCAUAAAGUACGUCGUAGUCCGGAUUGGAGUCUGCAACUCGACUCCAUGAAGUCGGAAUCGCUAGUAAUCGUAGAUCAGAAUGCUACGGUGAAUACGUUCCCGGGCCUUGUACACACCGCCCGUCACACCAUGGGAGUGGGUUGCAAAAGAAGUAGGUAGCUUAACCUUCGGGAGGGCGCUUACCACUUUGUGAUUCAUGACUGGGGUGAAGUCGUAACAAGGUAACCGUAGGGGAACCUGCGGUUGGAUCACCU